CCUACGGGUGGCGGCAGUGGGGAAUAUUGCACAAUGGGGGAAACCCUGAUGCAGCGACGCCGCGUGAGCGAUGAAGUAUUUCGGUAUGUAAAGCUCUAUCAGCAGGGAAGAAAAUGACGGUACCUGACUAAGAAGCCCCGGCUAACUACGUGCCAGCAGCCGCGGUAAUACGUAGGGGGCAAGCGUUAUCCGGAUUUACUGGGUGGAAAGGGAGCGUAGACGGCGGUGCAAGCCAGAUGUGAAAGCCUGGGGCUCAACCCCGGGACUGCAUUUGGAACUGUGCGGCUAGAGUGUCGGAGAGGCAGGCGGAAUUCCUAGUGUAGCGGUGAAAUGCGUAGAUAUCGCGCAGAACUCCGAUUGCGAAGGCAGCGUACCGGCGCCAGACUGACGCUGAGGCACGAAAGCGUGGGGAUCGAACAGGAUUAGAGACCCGUGUAGUC
Molecule: ribosomal RNA, 440 nt
Filed under: uncultured bacterium
Lineage: Bacteria
Description: partial 16S ribosomal RNA
Rfam family: Bacterial small subunit ribosomal RNA
Source: RNAcentral